This 99-nucleotide transfer RNA is filed under the name Armillaria gallica. RNAcentral describes it as "tRNA-Ala". It matches the Rfam family "tRNA". From Rfam's summary of the family: Transfer RNA (tRNA) molecules are approximately 80 nucleotides in length. Their secondary structure includes four short double-helical elements and three loops (D, anti-codon, and T loops). Further hydrogen bonds mediate the characteristic L-shaped molecular structure. tRNAs have two regions of fundamental functional importance: the anti-codon, which is responsible for specific mRNA codon recognition, and the 3' end, to which the tRNAs corresponding amino acid is attached (by aminoacyl-tRNA synthetases). tRNAs cope with the degeneracy of the genetic code in two manners: having more than one tRNA (with a specific anti-codon) for a particular amino acid; and 'wobble' base-pairing, i.e. permitting non-standard base-pairing at the 3rd anti-codon position. Lineage: Eukaryota; Fungi; Basidiomycota; Agaricomycetes; Agaricales; Physalacriaceae. The record is from RNAcentral.
GGGCACAUGGUGUAGUUGGUUUAUCACGCCCGCUUAGCAUAAGCUGUCUCAGCUAUACGUUAGUGCGGGAGGUGUUGGGUUCAAUUCCCAAUGUGUCCA